AACCUUUCUGAGCUAUAAUCGAUUAGCCUAGCUUGAAAGUGCAUAAAUUAUGAACCUUUCUGAGCUAUAAUCGAUUAGCCUAGCUUGAAAGUGCAUAAAUUAUGAACCUUUCUGAGCUAUAAUCGAUUAGCCUAGCUUGAAAUGCAUAAAUUAUGAACCUUUCUGAGCUAUAAUCGAUUAUCCUAGCUUGAAAGUGCGGUCGGCUGUUUAAACAGGCUGCCGCUGUCGUUAAAUUAACUAAUUAGAAAAUCAUUGGAUAAAUUUAAAUUGAGCCGAUCAACUCAAUUUUAAACUUCUCCACCUAUAGCUGAUCAGGUUGUAGGUUGAUUUUUAAGUAGUUAAUUAAGAGAAAUUGGAUUGCAAGGAUUUAAAUGUAGGUAAGAAAAAAGGGGCCAUAAAAGCAUUUAAGGUUAUUUUGA
Molecule: long non-coding RNA, 419 nt
Organism: Anthonomus grandis grandis
Lineage: Eukaryota; Metazoa; Arthropoda; Insecta; Coleoptera; Curculionidae
Exons: 2
Source: RefSeq, a predicted model, not a curated record